This 27438-nucleotide long non-coding RNA is filed under the name Prunus persica (peach). RNAcentral's name for it is "long non-coding RNA (PPER_LNC001510)". Lineage: Eukaryota; Viridiplantae; Streptophyta; Magnoliopsida; Rosales; Rosaceae. The record is from RNAcentral.
CUUGGUCCGCCAUGGACCGGCGACCCAUCUACGACAAAUUGAGCCGCAGAAGCUUCAGCAGCACGCUUGCAGCUUCAUCGGUGCUUGAAGGGGCGCUCUUCUUUGCGAAGAACGACGGCAGAGGUAGGGACUCCGGGGGAGGCGCAGCUAUACACGACGACGACCCGGCGUAGAACCCGGAAGCCCAGUUCCGUUCCGGAACCUUCUUCGAGUCAGGACCCAUCCGGCUGGUGGAUCCGAGAUCCGGAACCUGGGGAUUGGGAUUCUGCUUCUGUGGUGACCGAACCGGAGUCGCUUUGGGGAUUUCGUCGCCGCGUUUUAGGAUUUUGACCUGGCCCAUGACGAUAUUCUUGGGGGCUGCGGGUUUCUGGACCGGAGAGGGUGAGUUGUUGUUGGGCCGGGUCGGCCUUCGCUUCUUCCGGUCGGUUUGGGGAGAGGUUCUGACCCGAUUAGGGUUAGGGUUUCGAUUGGGAUUCAUCAGCGCUUGCUGAGGUGAGAGAGAGUCUUUGAGGCAAUUCUGGGGACUGAGAACUUGAACACCCAUCUAAAAUCUCACAAAAUCAGAUCCAAAAAUUCGAGCUCUUGCUACGAAAGAGAAGGAGGAAAUGAAAAACUUUGGGAAUUUACAGAGAGAAAUGUGACUGUGUGAAGAUUGGGAAGGAAGUAGGGUUGAGUUUUAUAGGGGAAGAUAAGAGACCUGAAGGGAAUAGGAGUAGGAAAAGCGACAAAAGGCGGUAGUGUAUAAUAGAAUCCACUUUCAUCAACCCCCCCUUGGGGGUUUCCUUCCUACACCGGUUUUUAGCCAUCAUUAUUGUUUCCCUUCACGAAUCUCAAUUAGGUUUCCUUUCCUUUUCUUUUUAGGAAAACGAUUACGUUUCCCAAAACACAUUUUGGUAUUAUUAUUUUCUUAGUGAUUUAGAAUUCAAACUUUUCUUGUUGAGGAAGAAAGUGCCCGAAAUUAGAUAUUAUGUUGUUUUUAGGUUUCCUAAAACACAUUUGUUAUUUUUUAAAGUGACUUAAAAUUCAAACUUUUCUUUUUGAAGAAGAAGGGACCCAACUUUUAAAUGUGUUACCAAAAUUCCUUAUUAUUGUGUUUAUCACAACUCCUAUUCUUAAGUAAUUAUUACAAAUUCUGAAAACUUCUUCGGAUGCUUCUCAUAGCUCAGCAUCCGAGACCAGCAGCACAACCAAUAACAACCACCAUAAUUUUCCCUAGCAAAGCAUGGGUUUCAAUUUAGGAGCUUCUCCGCUUAACCAGUACUUAGCUGCAGACCCUUCCAUCGGCAUGGAUUAUGUUUUUGGGAAGUCAUCUGCUUUUGUUUACCCUUACAAUCCAUUUGGUUCGCAUAUUGAAACUCUUGAGAAUGAAUUUCCCAUGUUUAAUCUCAUGAGUUGAGAAUAGAGGAUGCUCAGUCCUAUAUUUGUAAAAGUUGAGAAAUGAGGAUUAUGAAAGGUCAUUUUAUCACAUUCCCAUUGGUUUGUGGAGUAUUAGGAAUUAAAAUUGUUCAUCUUUCCAACAAUAUUCUUAUCUUUUUUUUUUUAAUUAAAGAGAAAUAAAUACGAAGAGUUUUUCUAAGAGUAAAAUAUGGUAUUUUAAAAAUAAGAUAUGGGUAAGUUAGCCAUAAAAAUUUGAAUUAAAUGCUUUCCCAUGUGGGGGAAAACAAAUUCCCAAGCUCAGCCAGGGUAUGAAAUUCCCUUUACAUGGGAAGUCAACACCCACGAGUCUAUAAUUGCAUUUCCAAUAGUGUACUUACUAAACAUGCGAAUGGAAUUUCAAACUAAUUCUCAAAUUCCCAAAUUUUGAACUAAACGAGACAUUAUGGUGUGUUUGGUUCAGGGAAAAUGGGGCUUGGGAUAGGAAAUUAGAAUUUUCUCAUGUUUUAUAAACCGAGUCAUAGAAAAUGAUUGCCUGACACAUGAGAAACUAGGAAAAAUUAAACUCUCAAACCCCUGAGGUGAGCAUUAAAUGCACAUUUUUAUGACUAUUUUGUCCAAUUCACAAUUUAUCACUUUGACUAUUCUUUUAUUUUAUUCAAUUCAUAUUUUUAAAAUGGGUAUACUUUAUAUUAAAUUUGUUUUAUAUUUAUACACAAACCAAACAUAAAAAAUUAAAUUCAAUAAUUUUUCACCUUCCCAAUAUUACCAAACAUAGAAAAAGAAUCAUCCUAUCAUCCAUAUCUCAUCUCUUGUAAAAGACAUUGAAAAUGAUUUCCCAUCAAAUCUUUUGAUCGACAGAACUGCUUUUGUCCUUUUGCUUUUGAUAACUCCAACCCAACCCAAACCACAAAGUCUCCAUAAAUAACCAUACAAGUUCAACAAAACCAAACAGAGUCCAGUGAAAUUCUGAGGUAAACAUUUGAUUUACUACCUUCACCAAGAAGUUCCAAGUUAGAACCCAUGUUCAUCAUAAUCUGUCAGCAAUUGAACUUUCCCAGAAGUCGAUUCCCCACAAAUUUCCAUCAAACACCUCAUACAUACACAACACAGCCAUCUCCAAACCCCAAAUUUAAUCACAAGAACAAGAUAAAGGAAAUUAAGAGUGCAAAAGAGCAGACAAAACACCAAUGGAAUUAAAAACCAAAUUAGACUUAACAAAUUGCUUGCAACUACAUCGUAAAAACUUGUGGAUACAUGUACACAAAAUAUACCCUUAUUUAACAGAAACAGCUCCUAAAAAACUAUACCUCUCAACCUUAAAUAGUACGACACAAAAAUAAAAGCAACCCAACCCUAAUUUAAUUGAAAACAAAAUGCUAAAAAUUGGAGCCAACCCAAGUUACCAACUACUGCUGCACAUAAUUAAAAUCCCUAACCCAUAAAUUAAUCUAAAAAGAAGAAAAAGCGUUAGGUCGAAUUGUGACCUCAUCCAUCUCUCUUCCCACGAAAAAAUAAGGGGAAGGGCGAUAAUCACACAACACGAACAUUAGCCAAACGCGGUCUCUACACUGCUGCACAUGCUUGGUCCGCCAUGGACCGGCGACCCUUCUACGACAAAUUGAGCCGCAGAAGUUUAAGCAGCACGCUUGCAGCUUCAUCGGUGCUUGAAGGGGCGCUCUUCUUUGCGAAGAACGACGGCAGAGGUAGGGAACUCGGGGGAGGCGCAGCUAUGCACGACGACGACCCGGCGUAGAACCCGGAAGCCCAGUUCGGCUCCGGGAACUUGGUCUGCUUCGGAGGAAUCGGUACCAUCUUCGGGUCAGGACCCAUCCGGCUGGUGGAUCCGAGAUCCGGAACUUGGGGAUGGAGAUUCUGCUUCGGUGGUGGCUGAAUCGGGGCCGCUUUGGGGAUUUCCUCGCCGCGUUUUAGUAUUUUGACCUGGCCCAUCACGACAUUCUUGGGGGCAGCGGGUUUCUGGACCUGCGGGGUUGGGUGGUUGUUGGGCCUGGUCGGCCUUCGCUUAGUCCGGUCGGCUUGUGGGGAGGUUCUGACCCGAUUAGGGUUAGGGCUUCGAUUGGAAUUCAUCAGUACUUGAGGUGAGACAGAGUCUUUGAGGCAAUUCUGGGGACUGAGAACUUUAACACCCAUAUAAAAUCUAACAAAAUCAGAUCCAAAAAUUCGAGCUUUUGGAGCUCUUGCAACGAAAGAGAAGGAGAAAAUUACAAACUUUGGGGCUCUUGAGAGCCAAGGGGAAUUUACAGAGAGAAGGGAAAACGAAGAUGAGACAGUGUGAAGAUUGGGAAUGAGGGAGGGCUGUGUUUUAUAGGGAAAGGAAGGGGAAGAUACCUUAAGGCAAUUCGAGUAGGGAAAGCGACAAAAGGCGGUAGAGUAUAAUAAAACCCACUCUCAUUGUUUUCGAUUUACUUUUUCCCUUCAACAAUUAGGUUUCCUUUUUCUUUUUUGUUUUGAGGAAAACAAUUUAGGUAAGUUUCUAAAACUAAAACACAUUUUUUUAAAUUAUUUUUAAAAGUGAUUUUUAAAUUCGAAGUUUUCUUUUUCAAGAAGUAAGGACCCGACUUUUAUUAUUUGGUUGGAACCACAUAAAAUGUACUAUCAAAAUUCGUUAUAUUUUAUAUACCAAUAUUAUUAGUGAAAAGAUGCACAUAAUAAUUGAAUUUAUAAUCACGUGAAUUAUAAGUCGUUUAUAUUAUAACUUUUUGAUAGUCCACAAUUAAAGUACAAGGUUUAAUUGGUUUAGAAAUUUAUUUUGAGAUUGAAAAUUAUAGGGUUUUUUUUUAAAUCCCAAUAUUCAAUAGCAACUAAAUAUUAAUUCCAUUAACUUCUUUGUUUCCAUCAAAUCCAAACACGAUUUACAUGAUAUUGUUUAUGCGCGUGAUCUGAAGCGCGUAGGAGACAUAUAGCUCCCUUCCUGUUUUCUUCUAUUUUUUUGGUGACGGGAAGUAUCAUUGAAGGCCCUUUACCUAAAACGCUGCUUUAAUUCGUGAUGACGGGCGUGUGACGUGGGUUCGAAACCACCGCUGGCAUGAUUAUCCACGGCCUUAGUUCUUGCGCCUUAUUUUUGGAAGGAACUACCACAAUGCCCCUAUCAAAUAUGAUUUUCUUUUUUCUUUUAAUUCCCGUACUAGUAAUAUUGCAAAAUAAAAACGUUUUUCCGAUCGAAAUAAGAAGCCUCAAUCCUUGUAAAUUAGGAAUUGGACAAUGUUAGUCAAACAGACACGUGUCUAGAACCUAACAGUGACACUUGUACCAAUAAGAAGACGCCACUUCACAUAACAAAUGGCAAUCCUGUCAAGUACUGCAGCCCAUAAUACCUUUUUAUUCAACCAUUAACAUGUUGACACAUAUAUUUAUAAUUAAAUAAGAAAGUAAUAUUAAAGAUCGGUUAGGUACGGGUUUCCAUGGGUAAAUGAUAUCCUCACCCGUUCCUUUAUCUGAUAUUUUCAGUAUGGGUCGGAUGGGUUAAAUUAAUAAUUAAAAAAAUUUAUAUAUAAAACAAAAAAUAAAGAAAAAUAAAAUAUUUAAAAUAUCAGAAAAUACUUUUAAUUAAUAUAAAUAUUAAAAAUUAAAAAUAUUAAUUAAAUAAAAAUAAUAUGAUAAAUUCACAUUUGAUCAUGAAAUGACUAAGUUUGCAUCAAAAUUUCUGGUGCUUGUGAGUGGAUCGGUUGCCUCCACUAUACUGCUUCUUUCAAAAGGAUGUAAACAUUUUGUGAGAUGAAUGAAUUUCAUAUCCUUUUUUUGUUGGAAAAAUAUAAAAAAGAUAAAUUCUUUUUGAAUCUUCCAUGUAUUUUUAUAUUCAAGUACUUUUACUUAGUGGCGUAGAUUUGGCCCAAAAUUAAGCACCAUUCAUUGCAAUUGAAAAUUGUAUAGAACUGAAAGUCCUUAAACAUUGUUAUCCCGAAAAAUAUUUUCAUAAAGGAAAAUGUUAAAUUUAUUAUAUUUUUAUAUCAUAUUAUCAGUCCUGAUCUCUUGGACCACAGGAGUCCAAGAGAUUGUGAUCACUCAUGUGAUGAAUAGAAUUAAUAGAUUCAAAAUGUUCUCUUGUGAAGCUAUUUAAAGGGAUUGCANNNNNNNNNNNNNNNNNNNNNNNNNNNNNNNNNNNNNNNNNNNNNNNNNNNNNNNNNNNNNNNNNNNNNNNNNNNNNNNNNNNNNNNNNNNNNNNNNNNNACGUCCCGGAGCUAUGACCCACGAUUACGCGCUGUUAACUGCAAUUGGUCACGUAUAGUGGUGAAAAUAUGUAAGGAUUGUUAUACCUUUACAUAUCGGAGUAAAGUAAAAUGUGACCCUUUUUAUUUUAUCCAACGGAGAGUGAGCACAAAUCUCUUGGACUCCUGUGGUCCAAGAAAUCGAGACUGAUCAUAUUAUAUAUCACAUCUUUAAUAGAGAUGAGUGAGGCUCAUCUCUAUUACAAAUAUAUGACAAGUCUAACAUUACCUCUCCAUGAAAAUAUGCAAUCAACUUGGUUUGACCUUUGACCUCUUGAUUUUUAUUCAAAGACACAUAUUCGGUUUCAAACUGCCCUGGUCAGCAGUCAACUUCGGCACAACGAAGGUUACGAGUCUUUUGACAAAGGCAGCGACCCAGAUUCAGGAAACUAGGCCCAACUUGGUAAUUAAACCCAAAAUGAGAGGCAAUCAUUUAGAAGCCAAAAGACAAAGGAAGGGAAUAAGAAAGAAUCCCGUGUGCUCGAGACAACAAACGCAUCAGACCGAAAAAAAAGAGAGACAACAAACGCACACAUCAGUCUACUUCCUACCCGAAUAAAAAUCAAUAGGUCCACGUGUCGCGAGUAUAUUUAAUUGGAUGGUGUAGACGUGGAAUGAGGACAGAUGGCAGCUGGCCCAACCAACUUGCAAAGGAUGGUUCAACUCCAACUGGGCCGCAUUUCUCUAUAACCUGUUGCCAAGCUGGAACUUAGGAUGGCAUCUGCUGGCCGUAAAUUAAACAGAAUAGAGCUAGUCUCAAUUCAAAAUUUCUCCCAAACAAAAGAAAAAAAGAAAGAAAAAAAAAUCGUAGAGGUAGACACGGUUCGGUUUAACUGUAUUUAACCCUCAAAUAGGAAAUCUAAUCAAUGUAAUAUCAUGAUUUAGCGUAGGCGGUUUUCAUAUAGGAUAAAUCGAAUCAAACCCAACGAAACAAAUUUUGGUUUGGUGCGGUUAUGUCUAAGAUUACAUACGUUUAGUGCAAAAGCCGAAUCGAACAGCUUGAAUUGAUUUGAUUUGGUUAAGCCGGUUUGAACAAAUCCGGGCUUUUUUUAUUAUUGGCCGGAUGUGGACCUCAUGAUCAUCAUUAUGACAUCCCAACAUGUGCAAGCCCUUGGUUUUUUUAUAUCUAAAUGGGCCAAUUUGUUCUGGAGUAUGAUUCUAAUAAAGGAUUUGGUCAAACUUGGGGCCAAUUUGUCUGCAACCCAAAUUUUCCAAGAGCCAUUUUGUCAAACUUGUCAGAUUUAUAUACCGGGUUUGGUGCCUACAAUUAGUUUGGAUUGAAUUGGAUAACUCUAGUAAGCUAUAAUUGUGUUACAACUUGGCCCGCAUUGUUCCUUUCUCCAAAUGAAAUAAAUAUACAAAAUAGAAAAUUACAAACUAAAAGUUUACGUUUAUACACCAAACCUUAUCUUACUUAUUCAGACCACCGACAUUGGGCAUGCGCCAGCCCUCGUACAUGAUCUUUCAACUUGGAGACCAGUGUUUUUAGUAAACAAUUACCCGAACUUUGGGGUUUAAAAAUGAGUGAGAGGUUUCCCUAGAUAAACAAACAUGAUUUCCUUGUCUAAAAUAAAAAAAAAUUAUAAAUUACAAAAAAAUAAUAUUGUACACAUUCCCGUUCACCCACACUACAUGGAGCGGGUGGCAACAAAUUCCCCGCCCCACGACGAGCAGGUGAACAUGACUGAUAAUGUAUGUGUAGCAAAGGGCCACGUAUGGGCUGUAAGUUGAGGGAAAGUCGGGUUUUUUUAAUUUAUUGGUCAAUCAAUGAGAGAAGAUUGCGUUGGCAAAAGGCCCAAAGUGAUACUUGGUGGAUAAAAUUUUCCAUGUGGAGCAAAAUUUCAUUAUAUGUGUAUUUAAGUGGAAUAUAUUAAUAGAAAGGAUGGCAAUAAUUGUCCUGGAUAUUCAUGUCACGCAUUAGCAGUUUGGAUUGGACAAGUAUUUAUAUGAAUUAUUAUUACAUGGGUCGAAAAUGAAAAAUGUCGGUGGUAACGAAAUCAAUGAUCACUACAUAAUUUUAUUCCCUAAUUUUUCUGAGUGUGUGUGUACUGGCUGCUGCCACACUGAUCAAUACUGAAGAUUGUACAUCUUUAUAAUUUCAUAUAUUUAUACAAUUUCCGACAUCACUAAGUGAGACAAUGAGACAUACAGACUUUUCCCAACACUUGUGCGCACGUGCUCCACGUGCUUGGAGAGACAAAGAAAGAUUAAGAAAGUUUUUUUUUUAUAAAAAAUUUAAAUUUUAAAUACAAGCAAUAAUCUCAACUACUUUAACUUAUAAUCAAACUCGUAUGCAAAGCAAUGACGGAUGCAUAGUACCUAAAAAAGGGACCUACAUUGGGAAAAUAAGGGGACACGAGGAGGGAAAUAUGGGGAACUCGGGAGGGGAUAAGGGAGGGGUCCACAACCAUCUUGGUCUUUAAGUGGCUCUAUCCUUGGGCGAAGAUGACAAAUACAAUGUCGUGGUCAAUUUACUUAAUUCAUGUUUGUAAGAAGUUUUUUUUGAAGAAAUUACGAAGCGAUAAAAAUUUAUUAGAUCAACGCACAUAAGAGAACAAAGGACAAAGACGGUAAAAUGAUUAGGUUUGUUAGAAGCUUUAAUGUUAAGCAAAUGUUGGAAUAAAGGAACAAAGAGAUUGAAAAUAAGAUUGACACUGCUAGCUAGAGUGGUAAUUAAUCUAAGCUAAAGUAGGGCUUCUAAUUUAAAAAUAAUAAUAAUAAUCACCUUCACAUCAAUAUUCAAUAAAUUAGUUGACAAUUACAAAAGACAUGAUUAUGAAUUAGAUUCGAUCAUUCUAAUUAAUAAUUUAUCUCCCAUCACUCUCAUUGCUAAUGUCACAUUAAAAAACCAAUUAGAGGUUGCUCAUUCGGCAAGUUAUCUGCGGGCAUAUAUAUGGCCCAUUUGGCAGAAAGAAAGAAACCCACGCAAAUGCAUUGCUUAUUUUAUCACUUUUUUUCUUUGCUCCUCAAGUAAGUAAUGAAUAUAAUCCAAGUUGAUUAGAGCGAAUUUGCUCCCCAUUCUAUAUCUGAGUUUGAAUCUCUCUCACUAUAAUUUAGAACAGUUUAAAGUAUUUAUCGCUUGUAAUUAGUACCAUAAUCGCAAAUAUGAGAUGGCUAGCUACCAAAUUGAAUAUAUGAAAUUUGUUGACUGAUAGUUGCUUGUUUACAGACAUAAAAAGACUUACUUUUCCUCCUCAACAACAAAUUGGUAUUUCUUAAAUUAGUUGAGCGGCCUCAUCAUUCUGUUUGAGCUUGAUGCUUUUGUCAAGUUAGUCCUGGAUUUAAUUAAUUUACAAAUUUAAUUAAUAAAGGAAAAAGCCAUUGGUUACUAAAGUCAUCUCCAAAGAAAGUUGGCUUUUAAUUAGAAGACAUCCAUCUUUUUCACACUUUUUUCGAAUCAAAAAGGAAAAAAGUUAUGGCCAAAGAGAAUAAGAAACGCACACAAAAUAAAAAUAGAAGAAGAAGAAGAAGGUCCCGCACUCCUGCAUGCACGUGAAACUUUAUCUGGAAACUUCUUUUUUGCGUUUGGUUUUAAUCCUGGGGCCAUGGAAAAAAUUGGACUGGCCCUAAAAGAUAUGCUUUUGUCGCCUAAAAAAGAUAUAAAAUAAAAUCUAAUUAUGAUUCAUUUUAAAAUAAUUUAUGGUUUUCAUUAUUAAGAAGAUUUUGAAAAAUACAAUUUUACAUAUCUAACAUGAACUCGCUGUGAAUAAAGAUAAAAAAAAAAACAGAAACAUAUAGAUAUGUGUGCGAGCGUGAGUCGAGAGACUAAUUAACUUUAUUAUACAGAAAAUUGGAAAAAAUAAUUUUGUUACUUUGAUAUCUAUAAUAUAGACAUGCAUAUUCGGUACUAUUUCAUGGAGCAUGUCUUUUUUCCUUUCUCCCCUUAAGAAUCUUAAUUUAGGUCCAAUUGGUUAAUGGACAACAAUAUAUAUAUAUAUAUAGACAGAUGAUGAUGUUGAAUUUGAAUAAUUGAUGGCAUGAUUACUUUUCUUAAUAUAAUGGGGUUGAAACUGAAAAAUAAUCGAGUGCACUCUUAUUUGAAUAUGUAUAAUUUACAUUAAUAAUCUAACGACAUAAUAUGUAAGAUUAUAUGACACAAUUACCUACUAGUUUGCUUGUCUUCUACCUUUUUUCUUCUUCACAAAAUAUAUUUGAAGUACAUUAUCCUUUUGUUCGGUUUCACAAGUAACCCAUGCAAUCAAUUGCCUUACCACAUACCAAUAAAAUAUAGAAAAAAAAAGGAGACAAAAAUCCUCUUAUAUAAUAAUAAGGGUGAUCAUUCCAAUUCAUGCUAUAAUAUUAUCCAAAAAAGUUCCUUAAUUAAUCAUCAUCAAUUAUCUUUUUAAUUAAAAACGAAAGAAGUCUCAAUCUCAAAUUGGUAAAGCGAAAUAAUGAGUGGGAUGUUUGUUUAUGGUCUUGGUCUUAUUUUAAAUAAUUUUACAUGAACAACAUGCAUGCAGUCUGCAGACAAGCUAAAAAUGCCAAAAAAAACGGAAAACAAAAAAAGAAACCAAGAGCAACAAAUUGCACCAAAGCUGGGCCUGCUUGAUCAUGAUGAUGAACAUUGGAAGUCGAAGCAAACAAUUUGUAAUGUUACGAAUUGUCAGCUAUUGCAUGCAGAAAGAAAGAGGAUCAGACCUAAUGGUCUGACUGUGACACUCUACCCACCCUUAGAUCUUUGACUAUUUUGUUCAUCGCAUGUGGGUCUCCUUCCCUAUAAUCCUUACCAAUACAAAUAAGAAAAAUAAAAGAAAUAAAUUCCCCAUAGAAUAAGCAAGGGACUAACAUGGGUGCAUACGAAUACUAGAUAUAUGUUACCUGUUUUUCACCAAACACGUGACAAACAAGUCUUUGUUUAUAUGAAAUAUUGGAUCAUUGAUCUUUCCAAUUUGGAAACUAGAACUAGAAGGGCGUUGGGAAAAAAGAAAAAAAAGAAGAAGUAGAUGGAUAAUCUCAUAGCCUUGAUAAAGGAAAAAUAAAUAUCAUCAAUGGAGUCCUGUCUAACGAAAAAAUGCCUUGAUUUGCAGAUCAAUAAGUUUGAAUUCCCAUCGCUCCCUCUCAUUCCUAAUUUUGAUAAAAAUAAAAAAGAAAAAGAAAAAAAGGAAGCAUUUAUUUGUUUUCAUACUUGUGUUGCAAACAUAUAUGAUAGUUUGGGGAUGGGAAUAUUUUCACACCAAAAAUAGCUAUCUGAGGUUUGUUUAAUGAAUAAAGUAUCUUUCACUAUAUUUAUAUAGAGAGAAAAAAGAAGUUGCCCAAACCCCCUCUCACAUUGGGGGUGUGGAUUGUAGAGAUACAACCAGUUUUGCUAUGAAAAUGACUCCAUCAUAAUAUAUUUCAUGUGAAUCUUCACUGUUGUUAAUUAUAUCAAUUUUUGUCAUUAUACUUGUUUUGCACACAUCUGAUAUUCUAUAAAUGUAUGGAUAUUUUUAAGAAGGAAUGUAUUUUUCUAUUACUUAUACAAUUUGAAAAGUAUACAAAAAAAAGAAAAAAAAACAGACAUUGAAGAUAGUGAUUAUAGUGACAAGAAAAUAAAAAUUAUGGGUCUCACUCACAUCAAUUAGUUGUAUAAUUUUAUUUUAUUUAUGAUUUGGAAAAGAUAUUAUGACUGAUGUUUAAUGGUUUUUGACUCUCCACAUGAUUGGUGUGCACUGUCCCCACCCAGAACAUAAAAUACAGCUUUUCUCUGCAAUUGCAUCUUUGUUUUCCCUUUUACCUUUUGCAGAUGGAAAGAUAGUUUAAAAGAAGUUAAAAAGAAAUGGCUACUUGCUAGAGGCAGAGAGAGAGAGUCAGAAAUCAAAAUAUUCAAGGAGAAGGCCUGAAAGAUCCAAAACACACCUCCCCACCAUUCCUAGGCUUCCCAAACCCCCCCCUCUCUCUCUCUCUCUCUCUCUCUCUCUCUCUCUCUCAUCCAUUGGUUGGAACCCACAAUUUGUAUUUUCAUGUGUUCUUAAAAUUAGUAAAGCAAAAGCAAACAACAAUGAAGCUUCUUCUUGUUAUUGCUCUCAAUUUGCUUUUGCUGCUUGUACACCAAAAUCAGCCACGUCCCAUUUGUGUUGGUGCCACACCUGACCCACUUGUUUCCUCCGUAUUAGCUCCGCUUUCCUCACCCAUUUCUCCAAUUGCCUCACCCAUUUCUCCAAUUGCUUCAUCAAUGGCUUCCUUCUCUCCAGGUACUUAAUACUUAUGCUUUGCUCUGCUCUCCAUAGACUGAAGACUCUUCCUUUUCAUUUCUAGCAAGUGGGGUUUUAAUUGGGUCACGGGUGCACCACUUCGAAAAUUCGAAUUUCAAAAAUGACCACCAAAUUGCGUGCAUUUACUGCAAUAUAUUGAAUUCAAUUUCUCUGAUUUUAUCAACUUCUGUGAUGUUGGUGCAAAAAUCUCCUGGUUUUAAUGUAUGAGAUAUUGCCCAUUUGCUCAAUUUUUGCUGAAACACGCCUCUAUAUAUUUAAUUUGUAAUCAGAAAUUCAAGAAGGAAGUGAAGGGCAUCAAAUGGAGCCACAUAGGAAAAUGCUAAUUGCUCUCAUUGUCACCUGCACUGCACUUGGUGUAGUUUUGUUGUCACUGUUGUGCUUGUGGGUUUAUCACAAGAAAUGUCCACACAAGUCCCACAAGAAAAGUGCUCAGAGCUCAGGUACUUUCAUUUGUACCAAGCACUUUUUGCCCUCUAAAUCUUGCUUCAAUUUGUGCGUUUUAGUAUGCUCGUAAAUUGUUCUUCUCUGAGAUUUUUUGUUCUGUUUGGUUCUGUUUCUUUGGUUUGUGUAAGAAGAUGCUGAGAAGGGGCUUGCAUUGGGUCCAUUUAUGGGUAAAUUCAAUUCCAUAAGGAUGGUUUCUAAGAAAGGAUCUGUUUCAGUAAUUGAAUAUAAAGUACUCGAAAAAGGCACCAACAAUUUCCGGGACAGCAACAUUAUUGGUGAGGGUGGAUUUGGAUGUGUUUAUAAGGCCCGGUUGGAUGAUAAUUUGCUUGUUGCAGUCAAGAAACUAGACUGUGCAAGUCAGGAUGCUGAGAGAGAAUUUGAGGUAACUUUUGCUCAAAAUUUUAGUUGGAGUUUUGUAUAAUGCUGUAUUUAUUGUAAAUCUUAUCUGAUGUAUUUAUUAUGUCUAAAUUGCAGAAUGAGGUGGAGUUGUUACAUAAAAUUCAGCAUCCAAAUAUAAUUUCCUUUUUGGGUUGUAGUACUGAUGGUGACACAAGGUUCAUUGUUUAUGAGUUGAUGCAUAAUGGAUCUCUGGAAACUCAAUUGCAUGGUAAUACAUUUAGUUUCUGUUAUUUUUUUUUAAAAUUAAAAAAGGAAUAUCAUGAAAUAUAUAUUUUUGUCCUAUUGUUGCAGGACCGUCUCGUGGUUCAGCACUAACAUGGCAUAUGCGAAUGAAAAUUGCUCUUGAUGCAGCAAGGUGAGCUUGUUUUCCCAAUUGUGGAGUCCUUUAGUUGUUAUGGGUUGUUUACAUUUUAACAUAUUGGGUACUGUUGACCAGAGGAUUAGAACAUCUGCAUGAGUACUGCAACCCUCCAGUGAUCCAUAGAGAUCUGAAAACAUCUAAUAUUCUUUUAGAUGCCAACUUCAAUGCCAAGGUAUGGUUAUAUAAAUUAUUGUAGUGUCUCAUCUUUCCUUAUAAAAUUAUUGAGCUUGUAUUAAAAUAUUUCAAUAAUGCAUUAUUAUCAUCCUCUAGCGCUAAAUUCACUGAAGUUUUUUUUUUUUCUCUCUCAUGGUGGCUUGUUUCAGCUUUCUGAUUUUGGUCUUGCUGUGGCUGAUGGGGCCAAAAACAGUAAUAACAUCAAGCUCUCUGGCACCUUGGGUUAUGUUGCUCCAGAGUAUCUUUUAGAUGGUAUGCCAAUUAAACUUGUAAUAAUUGCAAGGUGUAUUCUUUAAUUCUCACUGGUUACUGUGUCUACUAAACUAUAGUUUCUUUUCCCUAAGCUAAAUAUAAUCUAAUUGUUCUUUGGACCCUUGACAACUACUAUGGUACUGCGUUUGAUCGACAUAAUAAAGUACGUGUCUUUUAGUUAAGCUAUCUAGGGGCCGUAGCUGCACAUGUUCUGCCACUGGGUUCAUAUACCAUUUUAGAUUUGGAAGAGGAAAUCCCAGAACUACUUGUUACACUCAAGCUUAUCUGAAAUUAGGGAUGUUAUAAGCCAUUUAUGUGGAAAUUUGAACUUGAGAGAAGGGAGAGGUGGACGGCUUGAUAGUUAUCAACUUUUGGAUGACCCGUUGAUUUUCUGAUAAAUUUGGAUUCACCUUGAAGACAAGUUUUUAGCUGAAUAAUAUGUAAAUUUUUGUUUAUAGACUUGGAUGGCAUAUGCAUGUUAGUAUCACACAUUUUAAAUAAUAAUGGCCACCAAAAUGCUAUUUGUCAGCGAGAAUACUAAAUAGCACAAUUUUCUAAAGAGCUGUGUGAGCUUCCCUGCACCAGACUUCUCGGCUUUCACUUUUGUUAUUAUAGCAUUUGAAACAAGUUUUGGUGGUAAGCAAGUCACUCUUAUGAUUUCUCAGGUAAAUUGACAGACAAGAGUGAUGUCUAUGCUUUCGGGAUUGUGCUUCUGGAGCUUCUACUAGGAAGAAGGCCUGUAGAAAAACUGGCACCAACUCAGUGCCAAUCUAUAGUCACAUGGGUAUGCCUUUUUCCUAACUGCUCUCAAUUUUAAUUUAUUUGCAUAAUUCCUGUCAAAAACUUAAAUAUUUCAAAACUCAAUGCUGUAAUACAGGCCAUGCCUCAGCUCACUGACAGAUCAAAGCUUCCAAACAUUGUGGAUCCUGUGAUCAAAGAUACAAUGGAUCUGAAGCACUUAUACCAGGUUUGUGAAUUACAAACCCAGUAUGUUUGGUUGCAAUUAGUUCUAUGACAGACUCGUGCUUGACUAUGUGUAUCGAUUCUUUUGUUUGUACUGAAUGGACACAAAAUUUCAUGCUGUAAUAUAAUUGAUGCGUUGCAAUGCAUUACGCACAGGUUGCUGCUGUAGCUGUGUUAUGUGUGCAACCAGAACCAAGUUACCGCCCACUGAUAACCGAUGUUUUGCAUUCCCUUGUCCCGCUUGUUCCAGUCGAACUUGGUGGGACGCUAAGAGUUACACAACCUACAGCCCCAGGGAGCCCCCCAGCUGGUCAUUGAUGCACAAGGCAUUUAUGAUGACACUUUUGCAACAUUCUGGGUUCCUGCUGCUCAAUUGACUGCUCCAAAUCCCACAGUGAUUUUCUUACUUUUAUUUUGCUGGGAAGUUAAUGCCUUCAGUUAUUUCAGAGGAGGAAAGUUGGUCUGGUAGGAAUGUAGAGCUAUUGGGAUCGUCUAUCGCAUUUGUAAAUUGGAUCAAUUAGUUUCAAGUUGCUUGUGCAUAUGAGGGCAUUCGUAGAAACACUAGCUAAUUUCAUUUUUGACCUUUGUUUUUCAGUGUAAGAAAUCAGCUAAUUUUCAGUGGUAAUUGGUAAUUACCUCUGGAGUCUGGACCUGUCUUUGUUCUGAGAGUUCUUUUGGGAAGGUAAAAGCUAACAAUCAUCUUUUGCUAAUGAAGUCAAAUUGCGAAGGAAAGCCUCAAAUAUUACCAUCUAAUGAUUACAAACAUCAACUUCUUUCUGAGUCCAUCUAAAGUUCUCUUAAAGCCUGAAGAGUGGAGAGCCAGAAAGUACAUAUAAAUGAGAAAAUCCUGUUUUUAUUCUUAAGAAAAAGUCUUAUUUCUAAUUAAUUCUCUUCAGGUUUGAUCUUUUAACACCUUUUUUUUGUUUUUUUUGUUUUUUGGGUGGGGUUUGUGGGGUGGGUUUUCCCCUCAAGUUCAUUUAAUAUAGAGAAAAGAAAAAGAAACCUACAAGACAAGGAGAUAAUAAGGGCAAAGCAGUCUUAGCAACCCUAGCUACUCGAAUGGAAAAUGGCAAUUUGACAGUGAACAUCUCUAUGUCAGGCCAUCUCCAGCUAUGGCCAUAGGUCAAAUGUAGUCUUAAAAUAAUGUAAAAUUCAUCUUCAGUUAUGGGCUAAUUUUUUUUUUUUUGGGCCACAUUUGGCCCUUUAGCCCUCCAAGCAGGCUAUUUGUAACCCAGUUUUAGCCUAGGCCAAAUUUUUUUUGUGGGCUCAACGCAUGUGCUUUUCAAAAAGAGAAAGUAUCACGCGUGAACAAGAGAACGAAGCAUCUCGUGCAACUGCAUAUCCAACAUCUAAUAUUAAAGGAACGCUGACGUCAUCGAUGACGUAAGCUAGCUAUUAGGUUAUUUUUUAUUUAAAAAAAUAACAUUUUUAAAUGUUUUCAAAUUCGUUUUGUUUUUAAAAAAUAUAUAUAUAAUUGGUUUUUGACCCAUGGAGGUUAGAACCAUUGAAUGAAAAGUUACUUUUUUUAUAUAUUUAAAAUCUUUUAAAAUGUUUUAAAAUUGUUUUGUUUAAAAAAAAUAUAAAUAAAACGUACACGUGUCAUAUAUGGAAUAUUGUCUCUAAAUAGUAGUUGAAUUAAAUUAAACAAUACAUAGUUGUGGAAUGUAAGAGUGUUGUACUAUAGUUUUUCUCAAAAUAAUAAAAUAUGAAGGGCUCUAAAAUAUAGCUUUGCAUGGCUGAAGAUGGAAAAAAUUGUGAGAAAUUAAUAUAAUUUUAUUUAAUAUUAGUUUUCUAUUUGAAUGGAAAUUAAUAAAAUCCAUUGGAUUAAAGACAUGACCCUUGGGUAAAGACAUCUUCAAUUGGGGGGUGACAACUCUUCAAACUAAGAGAUACAUUGUUUGGGGUGACAACUCUUCAAGAUCAAGGGAUGCACUUUUUGCCUUUUCAGAUUGGGAUACCUUUUUAGAAAGAGUAUUUCAUCAUCUAUAAAUAGAGCAAUCCUCCUACAGUUUUAGUCAUUCAAUCAAUUCUCUACAUACAUACUCAUAUUUCCUACAAUCUUAAGACGAAUUACGCCCCACACUGGUGCUUAUGGUUCUCUAGCGCUCGCCUCUCAGGAUACAACGACUCUCCUCCUUAUGAAAGAAGCACUCCAAUUCACAAGGAACUUUGAACCAAAAUUAUGUAGGAACCUCUCUUUAUGAAAACUCUAAUGCUCUCUAUAUAUGAAAGUAUGUAAUUAAAUUAAACAAACACUAAUUGCCUUUUGUUUCUAUUGUUAGACAAAGUCUACAUAUACAGCAUCGGUUUUUAUUUAUUUAUUUGGAAUCUGUUUUCUGUUUGGCAUCAUUUUUUAUUAUUCUGUUCAUAAAUUCUGAUUAUAUUUAUCUACAUACAUUAAUAUUACUGUACCUGUGAAUUAUAGCAUUCUGUAUUACUGUUAUCUUGAAUAAUUGCAUAUUGCUUUUGCUAUACUUUUUAUCGGUAUUGCAUUAUUAAUUUCUGUGUGUUUUGUUGUAACACACUAUUGUGAUUCAUAAUUUAUCUAUUAGAGACUGCCAAAUAUUUAUUUAUUGACAUUGAGAUUGUUUAUUCGUCUUAAGGAAAAUGUCGAAUGAGAUACAGAAAGUGGGUCCUUCUAUGAAGACAAGUGCACCUGCUGUAGGUUGCCUUCAUCCCAUAAUCAUGCAGAGAAGCCUGAAAAAUUUAAUGGGAUGGAUUUUAAGAGAUGGCAACAAAAGAUGUUGUUCUACAUCACCACAUUGAAUUUGGCUCAUAUCUUGAAAGCAGAUCCUCCUGGACCUGGUGAUACAAUAGAAACAGUGGCUGCUUCUGAUGCAUUGAACCAGUCGGAUUUCCUUUGCAGGAACUACAUCCUAAAUGGUUUAAGUGAUGCACUAUACAAUGUGUAUAGUCCAAUUCAGACUGCCAAGGCUUUAUGGGAGUCACUAGACAAGAAAUAUCGAACCGAAGAUGCAGGAAUGAAGAAAUUUAUUGUCGGUCGGUUUCUUGACUACAAGAUGGUAGACUGCAAGACUGUUAUAAGUCAAGCCCAAGAACUCCAACUCAUUCUACAUGAGAUACAUGCAGAAAAGAUGGAAUUGAGUCUUUCCAAGUGGCUGCUGUCAUUGAAACCACGCUCUUGGAAGGAUUUCAAAAACUACCUUAAGCAUAAGCGUAAGGAGAUGGGACUUGAGGAUUUGAUAGUAAGGCUAAGGAUCGAAGAGGACAAUCGCCGUGCUGACAAAAAGUCUGGAUCCAUAAUGGAAGCAAAGGCUAACAUAGUGGAAAAAGAGUCAAGAAAAAACAAAAAGAGGAAGCACUCUGGAGAAGGCUCAAGGCAAGGGAACUCCAAGAAGUCCAAGGAAUUUAAGGGAAAGUGCUUCAAUUGCAACAAGCAAGGGCAUCGAGCUGUGGAUUGCCGAAGUAGAAAUGGACAAGGCAACCAAAAGAAAAAGGGCAAGACUGAGGCACACAUGACUGAAGAAGACAAGCUUUCAACUGAUUUGUCAGAUAUUAAUCUUUCUGCAGUCGUGUCUGAAGUGAACUUGGUGGGCCCACCAUGGAAUGGUGGGUGGAUACUGGAGCUACACGCCACAUAUGUUCUGAAAUGAAAAUAUUUUCUACAUAUGAAGCAAAUGAUCAAGGAGAACCUUUAUUUAUGGGAAACUCCUCCACCUCCAAAAUUCAUGGCCAAGGAAAAAUAGUUCUAAAGAUGACAUCUGGAAAGGAAGUCACUCUCAAUAAUGUACUUCACGUCCUGAGAUCCGGAAGAACUUGGUUUCUGGAUCACUGCUUAGCAAGAAUGGGUUCAAGUUAGUCUUUGAGUCUGAUAAGUUUGUACUUACUAAGAAUGGAAUGUAUGUGGGGAAAGGGUACCUUACUGAUGGACUCUUCAAGAUGAAUGUAAUGACUGUUGUACACAAAGUUAAUAAAAAUAAAGUUAGUUCUGCCUAUAUGCUUGAGUCAUCUGAUUUAUGGCAUGGAAGAUUAGGGCAUGUUAAUUAUGACAAAUUGCGUCAAUUAAUUAACAUGGAACUAAUACCUAAGUUUCAUAUUGAUUUCCAUAAUAAAUGUGAAACCUGUGUUGAAGCAAAACUAACUAGAUCAUCAUUCCAGUCUAUAGAAAGAAGUACAUAACCUCUAGAAUUAAUUCACAGUGAUAUUUGUGAUUUGAAAUUUGUACAAACUAGAGGUGGUAAAAAGUAUUUUAUUACUUUUAUUGAUGAUUGUACAAGAUAUUGUCAAUUAUAUUUGCUAAGAAGCAAAGAUGAGGCCAUAGAAAUGUUCAAACAUUAUAAAAGUGAAGUUGAGAAUUAACUUAGUAGGAAAAUAAAGAUAUUAAGAAGUGAUAGAGGUGGUGAAUAUGAAUCACCUUUUGGUGAGUUUUGUUCCCAACACGGAAUUAUUCACCAAACUACUACUCCAUACUCACCUCAGCAAAAUGGUAUUGCUGAACGCAAAAAUCGUACUAUGAAAGAAAUGAUGAAUGCUUUGCUAGUAAGUUCUGGAGCACCCCAGAAUUUGUGGGGGGAAGCUUUACUUUCUGCUAAUUACAUUCUCAACAAAUUGCCUCAUAAAAAGUUAGACAAAACACCUUAUGAGUUAUGGAAAGGUCACAAGCCUUCCUAUAAAUACUUGAAAUUGUGGGGGUGUCUAGCUAAAGUUGCAGUUCCAACCCCUAAAAAGGUUAAGAUAGGACCCAAAACUAUUGAUUGUAUCUUUAUUGGUUAUGCCAUUAACAGUAGUGCAUAUCGUUUCCUUGUACACAAAUAUGAUAUAUUAGAUGUACAUGUGAAUACGAUUAUUGAAUCAAGGAAUGCAUCUUUCUUUGAAAAUGUAUUUCCUUAUAAGGAUGCACAAGAAAGAAAUGCACUUAAAAGAACCUUUGAUACUGUUAAUAGCGAUAGCCAAGAAAGUCAUCAAGAAAAUAUGGACAAAGAGACUACAAAACCAGAACUUGGACAUGAACCCAGGCGUAGUAAGAGAGCUAAGACAACCAAAUCCUUUGGUCCUGAGUUUCUAACUUAUUUGUUAGAAAAUGAGCCUCAAAUCUACAAAGAAGCCAUGACUUCUCCUGAAGCUCCAUUAUGGAAAGAGGCUAUUAAUGCCGAAGUUGAAUCCAUCAUGCAGAAUCACAAUUGGGAACUUGUGGAUCUUCCUCCUGGAAAUAAACCAUUGGGUUAUACAUGGAUUCUUAAGAAGAAGAUGAAAGCUGAUGGAUCAAUUGACAAAUACAAGGCAAGGCUUGUUGUCAAAGGUUAUAAGCAAAUAGAAGGAUUGGAUUACUUUGACACAUAUUCACCAGUUACGAGAAUAACAUCGAUAAGAAUGUUAAUUGCAAUUGCAGCAUUGCAUAAUCUUGAGAUACAUCAAAUGGAUGUGAAAACGGCCUUUCUAAAUGGUGAUUUAGAUGAGGAAAUUUAUAUGGAACAACCUGAAGGGUUUAUUGUUCCUGGACAAGAAAAGAAAGUCUGUAAGCUUGUUAAGUCUUUGUACGGGUUAAAGCAAGCACCAAAACAAUGACAUAUGAAAUUUGACAAUGCACUAAUGUCAAAUGGUUUCAAGAUCAAUGAGUGUGAUAAAUGUGUUUAUACGAAAAGCACUCAAGAUGAUUUUGUAAUUAUUUGUCUUUAUGUUGAUGAUAUGUUAAUUAUUGGUAGCAAUAUUGGGAUGAUUAAAUCUACCAAGAAAAUGUUGACCAAUAAUUUUGACAUGAAAGAUUUGGGAGUAGCAGAUGUGAUUCUAGGGAUUAAAAUUUCUAAAACAUCUGAUGGACUAGUGUUAUCCCAAUCACAUUAUAUUGAGAAAAUACUUGCGAAGUUUAGCAAGUAUGAUACUAGUCCUGUAAAAAAACCUUAUGAUCCAAGUCUUAAUCUUGUGAAGAAUAUAGGUCAUGGUGUUUCACAAACAGAAUAUGCUCGUAUCAUUGGUAGUCUCAUGUAUCUUACGAAUUGCAAAAGGCCUAAUAUAGCUUACUCUGUUAAUAAAUUAAGCAGAUAUACUAGUAAUCCUGGAAGGGAUCAUUGGAAAGCUAUAGUCAGAGUUCUAAGAUAUUUAAGAUACAUCAAAAAUGUUGGACUGCAUUAUACAAGAUAUCCAGCUGUACUUGAAGGAUAUAGUUAUGCUAAUUGGAUAUCUAAUACUAAAGACUCCAAUUCUACAAGUGGAUAUGUCUUUACAAUUGGAGGUGCGGCUAUAUCAUGGAGAUCUACUAAGCAAACUAUUAUAGCAAGAUCUACUAUGGAAUCUGAGUUCAUAGCAUUAGAUAAAGCUGGUGAGGAAGCUGAAUGGCUACGUAAUUUCUAAGAAGAUAUUCCAUGUUGGCCAAAAAAUGUAUCUGUUAUAUGUAUACAUUGUGAUAGUCAAUCUACAAUUGCAAGGGCACAAAACAAUAUGUACAACGGCAAGUCUCGUCAUAUACGUCGAAGACACAACACCAUUAAGCAACUGCUCUCUAGUAGUAUAAUUACAAUUGACUACAUAAAGUCAAAAGAUAAUUUGGCGGAUCCGUUUACUAAAGGUUUGAACGGAGAGCAAGUUUAUAGAUCAUCGAGGGGAAUGAGGUUAAAGCCCAUGUCAAAUGAGUCGUCAUAGUGGAAACCCAACCUAGUUGAUUGGAGAUCCCAAGAUCUAGGUUCAAAAUGGACAACUAAAUUAUGAUAACUCAAAAAUAACACUGCGGAGAUAUAUUCUCCUACCCAUAUCCUAUGAUGAUACAGUGUUGUAUGAAAUGUGUUUAGGUUAAGCCAUGCUUUUAAUGAUUCCUAUACCUUGAUUAUCCGAGUAAGAUAUGAGAGGAUAUUACCAAUAGGAAGUCACCUAUAUAAGUGUGAAAUGGGGCCGUUUCCAUGAGAAUUUUCAGGGCUAAAUUCUCUAAAGCACUUAUGAAACCAGGAAUUGCUCAAGGCCAAAACGAGCACAACCGAUCGAACCAGAUAUGUCUAGAAGGAUAUUGUGUGAGUAUUAUUGUCUGGGUUUACACGAACGGCUGAACAGUUCAAGACAUCACGUUCACUGAUUAGCCAAGUGAAUCCGAUAGUACUUCACUAUGGAAGGUUCAAAGUCAAAAGCUACCUAUCUAGAUGCUAUAUUCUUCUAAUAGGAACUCUCUCUAAGUCUGCAUUAUCAUUUACAUAUUGUUGAAACUAAUUUCCAUUCAUGUGGGGGAUUGUGAGAAAUUAAUAUUAUUUUAUUUAAUAUUAGUUUUCUAUUUGAAUGGAAAUUAAUAAAAUCUAUUGGGUUAAAGACAUGACCCUUGGGUAAAGACAUCUUCAAUUGGGGGGUGACAACUCUUCAAACUAAGAGAUACAUUGUUUGGGGUGACAACUUUUCAAGAUCAAGGGAUGCACUAUUUGCCUUUUCAGAUUGGGAUACCUUUUUAGAAAGGGUAUUUCAUCAUCUAUAAAUAGAGCAAUUCUCCUGCAGUUUUAUUCAUUCAAUCAAUUCUCUACAUACAUACUCAUAUUUCCUACAAAAUUUAACUAUACACUAUUUUUAAUGGCUAAAUUUCUAGUCCUAGACUACAUUUAACCCUAUAACAGGGGAUAGCCAGAUUGCCAUUUCCCUGAAAAAUUACCGAUACAUGAAGUUAAUUACCCAGCAGAUUUGGGUAACCAAUGUAAUUUCCACCCUUUGAGUUGGAAUUAGCUUUAUUGAGUAGUCAAUUCCAAAAAUCUUGACCUGAGAUGCGAAAGUCUACACCACGUUUUUUUUUUUUUUUUGUGGUCAACGAGUCUACACCACGUUUAUUGCAGCAUGAUGAAUUGAAUCUGAAACAAAACUCAUCUGAAUAAUUGACUUUUUUCUGAGAUUGAAGAGAAUGCGGGUUUGUUAAUUAAUUUAAGGCUUCAAAUCAGACAGGAGUUGGCCUGAGUCCAAUGAAAUUCAUAUAAUAUAUACUCACGUCCGUAAAAAUCAUUAAUUUAACUGUUCGUUAAAAAAAAACAAAACAAAAAAGUCUUACCAUGCGAGGUCGAGAACCACCCACCCUUUUCAGUUUUUUAUCAAUGCAGACUUGUCAAUGACAAGCAUCAUCAUCAUCAUCUACCUCUGGUAUCUUCCACCAUUUGGCUACCUUAACCUUUGAUGAAUUUCACGUUGGAUGGUUUCUAACUAUAAUAAUAAUGAAUAUUAAGAUUUCAUUAACUAAAAUUUUACAUAAUUGAAAUUGGCAACCCCUUAUAUAUGUCUCAAUAUCUGCAUGAACCUCUGGCAAUUUAAAACAAUUAAAAACUUUUAUCCAGCAAAUUCUACAUAACAUCCCACUUCUCACAACAUUUCCACUGGGACACACAAACCAUGUUUAUUUUACAUAAGCUGAGAUUGAGAACAGAGACAUUAAUAUACUAGCUAGGACUUGGAGUUGGGAUGGGGAAAUAUGAUAUUGGAUUUCUUGGUUGUAGCCUCAAUGGUGGACUUGGUGUUGGAGUUGGAGUUGGAGUUGGAGAGAGAGUGAAAAUAAGAGGCCAUAGAUUGGGCCAUGGAAUCAAACAUCAUUCGCUUCACUGACCUCCUUUUUGCUGGAAUCACACUUGCAAAAUUUGAAGUCUUUGGUUGAACGCAUGUUUUUUUAUUGCCUGCUGCAACCACUUCCUUACCUGGGUUCUUCUUCAUUUCUUCUUCAGCUGUCCUGUGUUUCCACCCCUUUGCUUAGCUUCUGGCUGUGUAAGAGUGUUACGUGUUUGAUGAGUUUUGCAAUGGUGUUAGGGGGACUUGUUUGGGCUUGUUUAUAUAGACACAAACAAAAACCAAAAACCAAAAUAAGGUUUGGAAAUUACACAGAAUGUUCGUCUAAAAAGGUUUAGAGUUUAUAUUAUUUUAUUGGCAAUAUCUUUGAAACUUCAAUCAAAUCCACUUCUUACGUCCAAAUUCGGAGUAUUGAUGUAAAACGUAGGACACAACUCCAAGUCGCUUGGCCACCUCAUGAAUUUUGCAACGUAGAAAAAGAAAAUGCUAUUAACUUUUACAAAUUUGCAUAUUUUUUAUAUUUUAAAAUAAUAAAAUACUUGAAGUAGACUCACUUGAUAAACCUAGUAGUAAAAAGUCUUAUAUAGAGUCCACAACAAAAAACUCUUAAAGUUUUUCGUAUAGACAAGGACAUUACAUUUUCCCAUUAAUGAUACUUUCAAAGUUUUUCACACCGUUUCCUCCUCUAGAUCUAGAAGCUUCAUUAUUAUGUUAUUGUUAGAUAACUAAUUCGGAUUUCAGUGACUUUCUAUAAAGACGAUAAAGUAAAUUUAGGUUUUAAUAAUAAAAAAACUUUUCAGUAAAAUAAAAGUAAACAUGAGAAAAUAAUUGAUUUCCCAUUAAUCAAACGGGGUAUAGGUAGCUUAAGGAAAGGAAUUUUGUUUUCAGUAUUAUUUAGAUUUUCAAAACAAAUAAAAUAAAAUUAUAUACGUGGUCCACGAGGAAAUUUCUCAACCUUUUUCAUUUCACUUAUUCCUUGUUGAGUUUUAUUUCGCAGAUUGUAAUCGAAAGGCCAUCUCGUGGCUAAACGACAAAAAUGGAGUUACUAGAAGAGCAAACUAUAUUGAUAGAACUUAGAAGGUUGAAGUUCAAAAUAGAAAUAACAUAAUUUGCUACCAAAAAUCACAAGUUUGUUAGGCACAAAUUUUUACGUAAAUAUGGAGACAAUGGUCUUUACAAAACUCAGAAUUUACUUUCAAUGGUUUUAUUAUCUCUUUCUUGUAGACAGAGAAAAAUACCACAAAAAAUAAAUUAAUGUAUCAAAAUCUAAAUUUACAUCUCACUCAUUGGAGGAAAAAUCACAUUUACAUCCUCAAGACGGCAUUACUCUUAGCCCUCCCUGUAACAAUUACCGGUACAUGAAGUUAAUUAACAAAAAAAGAAGUCAUUAUACAUGUCUCAAUAUCUGCAUGAACCUCUGGCAAUUUAAAACAAUUAAAAACUUUUAUUUAAUUUAAGACAUUACAGAAACCAGUAAACAUAUAUAGACUUCACACUUCUCUAUACUGCAACAAUUUCAAAACGACAUGAUCAUCUAUAGUAUAUGGAAUUUGAUCAAGCCCACAACAUUUCCACUGAGACACACAAACCAUGUUUAUUUAACAUAAGCUGAGAUUCAGAACAGAGACAUUAAUAUACUAGCAAGGACUUGGAGUUCUUGGUUGUAGCCUCAAUGUCAAUGGUGGAGUUGGAGUUGGAGUUGGAGUUGGAGUUGGAGUUGGAGUUGGAGAGAGUGAUAAAAAGAGGCCAUAGAUUGGACCAUGGAAUCAAACAUCAUUCGCUUCACUGACCUCCUCUUUGCUGGAAUCACACUUGCAAAAUUUGAAGUCUUUGGUUCAACGCAUGUUUUUUUAUUGCCUGCUGCAACCACUUCCUUACCUGGGUUCUUCUUCAUUUCAACUUCAGCUGUCCUGUGUUCAACUUUUCCACCCCUUUUGCUUAUCUUCUGGCUCUGUAAGAGCAACUACACCCAUUUGUCCUUAGCCAUGGCAAGGGGGGAGCUAGGGCAGUCACUAUUCACGUGAAUAGUGGUUGCCCUUGCAAAUAGUAUUUUGUGUUUGCACCCAUUGCCAUGGCUAAGGGCAAUUACUAUUCAUUUUUUUGUUUUUUCACAACUUUUUUUUACUUAAAUAAUUAAUUUGGAUAAUAUUUUCGGAUAAGAUUUUUGGGUUCCUACGUGUCAAUACUAUUCAUAUCGGAUAAGAUUUUUUUUAGCGGAGGUGCAAUAUUGGCUAAGUAUGAAAAAUGGUUUUUCGGAAUAAUCAUUUUCUCAAGAUAAUUUUUGGCGGCUUUUAUUCCUUACACAUCAAAUAAGAAAACUUGAUUUUAUGGAAUUUUAAUAUGAAGUAUAUAUUGACUUAAUGAGCCAUCAUUUUUAGCCUAAAUCGUAUUUUGCACUAAAACCGAUUUUUCAUAUUUUGAUUUGGUGGGAAUUUGAUUUUCUAGUAUUUUUAUUUGAAUCCAAAUGGGGGGUACUUCCUUAUUUACAUUGUAAACUUAAGUAAAUGGAGUAAUAUAGAGAGGAAAAUAUUGAGUAUAAAGAGUGAAUAAUGAUAGAAGUAGAAGAAAAUGUACGAGGAUUAGUGUUGAAAGUGAAGGGUAUUGAUAGGUAUUUAUAGAAGAAAAAAUCUGACUUUUUUAGAAUUUUUUUAAAAAAAAUUAGAUUUUUUUAUAAAAAAUUAGAUUUUUUUAUAAAAAAUUAGGCGAUGACGUCACGCUGACGCAGGCCGUGACGUCAUCAGCCUGGGUUUGAACGCGGGCUGAAAUGGCCCGAGGGCCAGCCCGAGUUGGUGGGUCCCACACGCAACUCGGGCCUGGGCUCCCCGCUGGAAUGAGAUUUUUUUUCCGCCCCCCCCCCCCCCCCCCCCCCCCCAGCCUUGGGCUGAGCCUCCCCGGUGGAGUUGCUCUAAGUGUUACGUGUUUGAUGAGUUUUGCAAUGGUGUUAGGGGGGUUUGUUUGGGCUUGUUUAUAUAGACAAAAAAAAAAAAAAAAAAGGUUCGGAAACUACACAGACUGUUCGUCUAAAAAGAUUUAGAGUUUAUAUUAUUUUAUUGGCAAUACCCUUGAAACUUCGAUCAAAUCUGCUUUGCACCUCCAAAUUCGGGGUAUUGGUGUAAGGAAAACAUAGGACACAACUCCAAGUUGCUUGGCCACCUCAUGAAUUUUGCAACGUAGAAAAAGAAAAUGCUAUUAACUUUUAAAAAUUUGCAUAUUUUUUAUAUUUUAAAAUAAUAAAAUACUUGAAUUAGACUCACUUGAUAAACCUAGUAGUAAAAAGUCUUAUAUAGAGUCCACGACAAAAAACUAAGUUUUUCAUAUAGACAAGGACAUUACAUUUCCCCAUUAAUGAUGCUUUUAUUUUCUAUUCAACCAUUUUCGCACGGUCUCCCUCCUCAAGAUCUAAAAGCUUCAUUAUUAUAUUAUUGUUAGAUAAGUAAUUCUGAUUUUAGUGACUUUCUAUAAAGACGAUAAAGUAAAUUUAAGUUUAAGUUACAAAAAAAAUUUUACUUUUGAAAAAAGUCAAAACUUUUCCGAAAAAGACAGAAAAACUUUUCAACUUUUAAACUAAAGACGUACAAAUAUAAAAGAUUCUUUAGAAAAUCCAAAAAUAAGUAAGGAUAUUUUUGUCUAUUUUAACUUCUUUUAAAAAUAUUUCUAUCUCUUUUGACAUUUUCUAAAAUAUCCCAGAUUAAAUAAGUUCCUAAAAAUUGAACUGUUCGAACUAACAAAUCUAAUUGAUGAUUGGAUCCACUUGCAAUAUAUAUAGGUAAACAUGCUUGGGAUUGGGGCUACAUAUACAGGGAUGCAAGGAAACAUUGUGGGCCAACUCAAGAUUGUAAAAUUAUGCUUAUGUUCCUGCCUUAGAGCAUUUCCAGCAAGGGGACCAAGGGGAGGGCUGGGGGCGCAAGUCCAAAAUGUUGUUUUCAAUAAUAAAAAGUGGCUCGGGCAAGGAGUGGGAUCCAGCGAACUGAGCUGGCCCGAGGGGAAAGCUGGCCCAAGCGCCAGCCAGCGUUUUGGAGAUGAUGUCAGUGAGCUGAUGUCAUGACGACGUCAGCUACAAUUCCCCCCAACGGCUAGCUUCCAUGUGGCGUGGGCUUGGCUCUUCGAUCAGAAUUUUUUCAGCAAUUCAACGACAACUAAUUUUUGUGCAAUAAAAAAAAAUAAAAAAAAUAAAAAAAUUACUGAUUUUUUUUUCUCUAUACCUUAUUUCUAUUUUCACCAUUUAAGUAAAUGUCUUUGUCCUUUUACUUUCAUUUAUUUUUAUAUUACUUCAUUUACUUAAGUUUACAAUGUAAAUAAGGAAGUACCACCCAUUUGGAUUCAAAUAAAAAUACUAAAAAAUCAAAUUCCCACCAAAUCAAAAUAUGAAAAAUCAGUUUUAGUGCAAAAUACGAUUUAGGCUAAAAAUAAUGGCUCAUUAAGUCAAUAUAUACUUCAUACUAAAAUCCCAUAAAAUCAAGUUUUCUUAUUUGAUGUGUAAGGAAUAAAAGCUGCCAAAAAUUAUCUUGAGAAAAUGAUUAUUCCGAAAAACCAUUUUUUAUACUUAGUCAAUAUUGCACAUCCGCUAAAAAAAAUUAUGGGUCCG